RNAcentral lists this ribosomal RNA (254 nucleotides) under uncultured bacterium. RNAcentral describes it as "partial 16S ribosomal RNA". It matches the Rfam family "Bacterial small subunit ribosomal RNA", at positions 524 to 776 of the family's 1533-position model. The record is from RNAcentral.
UACAUGGGGUGCAAACGUUGCUCGGAAUUAUUGGGCGUAAAGCGCACGUAGGCGGUUCGUUAAGUCGGAUGUGAAAGCCCUCGGCUCAACUGAGGAAGUGCACCCGAAACUGGCGAGCUUGAGUACGAAAGAGGAUCGCGGAAUUCCCGGUGUAGCGGUGAAAUGCGCAGAUAUCAGGAGGAACACCGGUGGCGAAGGCGGGUCUCUGGGCCGAAACUGACGCUGAGGAGCGAAAGCGUGGGGGAGCGAACAGG